This 28-nucleotide non-coding RNA is filed under the name Homo sapiens (human). The record is from RNAcentral. Lineage: Eukaryota; Metazoa; Chordata; Mammalia; Primates; Hominidae.
UGAGCAUUGCUCUGAACGGUGGGUGCAC